GACGAACGCUGGCGGCGUGCUUAACACAUGCAAGUCGAACGGAAAGGCCCUGCUUUUGUUGGGUGCUCGAGUGGCGAACGGGUGAGUAACACGUGAGUAACCUGCCCUUGUCUUUGUGAUAACUUCAGGAAACUGGGGCUAAUACCGGAUAUGAUCUCCUGCUGCAUGGUGGGGGUUGGAAAGUUUCGGCGGUUGGGGAUGGACUCGCGGCUUAUCAGCUUGUUGGUGGGGUAGUGGCUUACCAAGGCUUUGACGGGUAGCCGGCCUGAGAGGGUGACCGGCCACAUGGGGACUGAGAUACGGCCCAGAAUCCUACGGGAGGCAGCAGUGGGGAAUAUGGCACAAUGGGCGGAAGCCUGAUGCAGCAACGCCGCGUGCGGGAUGACGGGCUUCGGGUUGUAAACCGAUGUGGCAUGUGACGAAGCGUGAGUGACGGUAAUGGGUAAAGAAGCACCGGCUAACUACGUG
This 468-nucleotide ribosomal RNA is filed under the name uncultured bacterium. RNAcentral describes it as "partial 16S ribosomal RNA". It matches the Rfam family "Bacterial small subunit ribosomal RNA", at positions 28 to 507 of the family's 1533-position model. The record is from RNAcentral.